GUUGAAACAGACUUUUCCACAGAAAGUGUGUUGAAUUCACAUUCUUUGGGUAACAGAAAUUGAGUCAAGAAAAAUGGAUCAAGAUGGAAGUCCAGAAAUGGGCAUAGUAAGAGAUCCCCAUAUUUGGGGAUGCGAAUCUAAGCAAGUCCCAGGAUGAAGCCU
This 162-nucleotide long non-coding RNA is filed under the name Phasianus colchicus (ring-necked pheasant). Its description in RNAcentral is "lncRNA (ENSPCLG00000011002.1)". Lineage: Eukaryota; Metazoa; Chordata; Aves; Galliformes; Phasianidae. The record is from RNAcentral.